RNAcentral lists this unclassified non-coding RNA (336 nucleotides) under soil metagenome. RNAcentral describes it as "partial contains 5.8S ribosomal RNA, internal transcribed spacer 2, and large subunit ribosomal RNA". The stretch from base 1 to 120 matches the Rfam family "5.8S ribosomal RNA", at positions 35 to 154 of the family's 154-position model. The record is from RNAcentral.
GAUGAAGAACGUAGCGAAAUGCGAUAAGUAGUGUGAAUUGCAGAAUUCAGUGAAUCAUCGAAUCUUUGAACGCACAUUGCGCCCUUUGGCAUUCCGAAGGGCAUACCUGUUCGAGCGUCAUUUCAACCGUCAAGCCUGGCUUGGUGUUGGGCGUCUUGUCCCGCUAUGUGCGCGGACUCGCCUUAAAAGAAUCUGCGUCUGUAUGUUGGCCUGAUGCGUAGCACAAUUCGCAGACCAGGCAGGCGUACCGGCGGCCGGAAAGCACCUUUUUUUUUUGUUUGACCUCGGAUCAGGUAGGGAUACCCGCUGAACUUAAGCAUAUCAAUAAGCGGAGGA